RNAcentral lists this ribosomal RNA (521 nucleotides) under uncultured bacterium. RNAcentral's name for it is "partial 16S ribosomal RNA". It matches the Rfam family "Bacterial small subunit ribosomal RNA", at positions 899 to 1397 of the family's 1533-position model. The record is from RNAcentral.
ACUCAAAUGAAUAGACGGGGACUCGCACAAGCGGUGGAGCAUGAGGUUCAAUUCGACACUAACCGAAAAACCUUACCCGGAUUUGAAAUGCACGUGAAAACAUUAGGAAACUAGUGUUGUCCCUUAAAAGACACGUGCACAGGUGCUGCAUGGUUGUCGUCAGCUCGUGCUUUGAAGUGUUCCCUUAAGUGGGGUAACGAGCGCAACCCGCACCGUGUGUUUGAUCUGUCACACGGAACCGCCCAGCUUUUUGUCCGUAACGCGCAAGCGUUGUGGUCAAGAAGCUGGGAGGAAGGAGCGGAUGACGUCAAAUCAGCAUGGCCCUCUGAUAUCCGGGGCCACACUCGUGCUACAAUGGCAAAAACAAAGGGUCGCCAACCCGCAAGGGGGAGCUAAUCCCGAAAUUUUGCCCCAGUUCAGAUAGGAGGCUGCAACUCGCCUCCUUGAAGCCGGAAUCGCUAGUAAUCGCGGAUCAGCAUGCCGCGGUGAAUACGUUCUCGAGUCCUGUACACACCGCCCGU